UGAACGUUGGCGGCGUGGAUUAGGCAUGCAAGUCGAGCGAGAAUCUGUUGAAUGAUCCUUCGGGUGAAUGAUUCAGAGGACAGCGGCAGACGGGGUAGUAAUACAUAGGUUACGUACCCUCAGGACCGGGAUAGCCACGGGAAACUGUGAGUAAUACCGGAUAAUCUCCAUGGAGCAAAUGGUGUGAUUCCGCCUGAGGAGCGGCUUAUGCGAUACUAGGUUGUUGGUGGGGUAAUGGCCUACCAAGCCUGAGAUGUCUAGGGGGUGUGAGAGCAUGGCCCCACCACUGGGACUGAGACACUGCCCAGACACCUACGGGUGGCUGCAGUCGAGAAUCUUCCACAAUGGGCGAAAGCCUGAUGGAGCGACGCCGCGUGCGGGAUGAAGGCCCUUGGGUUGUAAACCGCUGUCAGAGGGGAUGAAAUCCUUGGGGGCUAUCCCCCUUGGUUGACAGAGCCUCAGAGGAAGCACGGGCUAAGUUCGUG
RNAcentral lists this ribosomal RNA (485 nucleotides) under uncultured bacterium. RNAcentral's name for it is "bacterial SSU rRNA". It matches the Rfam family "Bacterial small subunit ribosomal RNA", at positions 30 to 507 of the family's 1533-position model. The record is from RNAcentral.